This 408-nucleotide ribosomal RNA is filed under the name uncultured bacterium. RNAcentral describes it as "partial 16S ribosomal RNA". It matches the Rfam family "Bacterial small subunit ribosomal RNA", at positions 28 to 526 of the family's 1533-position model. The record is from RNAcentral.
GACGAACGCUGGCGGCGUGCUUAACACAUGCAAGUCGAACGAAGUGGCGAACGGGUGAGUAACGCGUCAUCAACCUGCCCUUCAGAGGGGGCCAACAGUUGGAAACGACUGCUAAUACCUCAUACUGAAGGAGGGGAUUGCGUCUGAUUAGCUAGUUGGAGGGGUAACGGCCCACCAAGGCGAUGAUCAGUAGCCGGUCUGAGAGGAGGAACGGCCACAUUGGGACGUAGACACGGCCCAGACUCCGACGGGAGGCAGCAGUGGGGAAUCUUCCGCAAUGGACGAAAGUCUGACGGAGCAACGCGGCGUGAGUGAUGACGGCCUUCGGGUUGUAAAGCUCUGUUAAUCGGGACGCGGUACCGGAAUAGAAAGCAACGGCUAACUACGUGCCAGCAGCCGCGGUAAUAC